Molecule: unclassified non-coding RNA, 363 nt
Filed under: uncultured Ascomycota
Lineage: Eukaryota; Fungi; Ascomycota
Description: sequence contains ITS2
Rfam family: 5.8S ribosomal RNA (bases 1-154)
Source: RNAcentral
AACUUUCGACAACGGAUCUCUUGGUUCUGGCAUCGAUGAAGAACGCAGCGAAAUGCGAUAAGUAAUGCGAAUUGCAGAAUUCAGUGAGUCAUCGAAUUUUUGAACGCACAUUGCGCCCUGUGGUAUUCCGCAGGGCAUGCCUGUUCGAGCGUCAGUACAACACUCAAGCUCAGCUUGGUCUUGAGCCCAGCCGGUAAUACGGCAGGCUUUAAAAUCAGUGGCGGUGCCAUUAGGCUCUCAGCGUAGUAAUACUCCUCGCUCGUGGGUUCUAGUGGUUACUGGCCAGCAACCCCAACUUCUAAGUUUGACCUCGGAUCAGGUAGGGAUACCCGCUGAACUUAAGCAUAUCAAUAAGCGGAGGCU